UUAUAGUUUAUUUGAUGAAAAGUACUACUUGGAUAACCGUAGUAAUUCUAGAGCUAAUACAUGAUAAAAUCCUCGACUUUGAAGAGGUGUAUUUAUUAGAAUGAAACCAAUAGACUUCGGUCUGUUUGUGAGUAAUAAUAACUAAUCGUAUCGCAUGCUUAGGUAGCGAUAUGUCUUUCAAGUUUCUGCCCUAUCGGCCUUGGAUGGUAGUGUAUUGGACUACCAUGGCAGUAACGGGUAACGAAGAAUUUGGGUUCGAUUUCGGAGAGGGAGCCUGAGAGAUGGCUACCACAUCCAAGGAAGGCAGCAGGCGCGUAAAUUACCCAAUCCUGACAUAGGGAGGUAGUGACAAUAAAUCACAAUGCGGAACUAUUAGUUUUGCAAUUGGAUUGAGAACAAUGUACAAAUGUUAUCGAUAAACAAUUGGA
Molecule: ribosomal RNA, 428 nt
Filed under: uncultured Blastocystis sp.
Lineage: Eukaryota; Bigyra; Opalinata; Blastocystidae
Description: SSU rRNA
Rfam family: Eukaryotic small subunit ribosomal RNA
Source: RNAcentral